GCAGGGGAGAGUUUGAUCCUGGCUCAGAGCGAACGCUGGCGGCAGGCCUAACACAUGCAAGUCGAACGAACUCUUCGGAGUUAGUGGCGGACGGGUGAGUAACACGUGGGAACGUGCCUUUUGGUUCGGAAUAACUCAGGGAAACUUGUGCUAAUACCGAAUGUGCCCUUCGGGGGAAAGAUUUAUCGCCAUUAGAGCGGCCCGCGUCUGAUUAGCUAGUUGGUGAGGUAACGGCUCACCAAGGCGACGAUCAGUAGCUGGUCUGAGAGGAUGAUCAGCCACACUGGGACUGAGACACGGCCCAGACUCCUACGGGAGGCAGCAGUGGGGAAUCUUGCGCAAUGGGCGAAAGCCUGACGCAGCCAUGCCGCGUGAAUGAUGAAGGUCUUAGGA
This 393-nucleotide ribosomal RNA is filed under the name Brevundimonas sp. BH2. Its description in RNAcentral is "bacterial SSU rRNA". It matches the Rfam family "Bacterial small subunit ribosomal RNA", at positions 1 to 422 of the family's 1533-position model. The record is from RNAcentral. Lineage: Bacteria; Pseudomonadati; Pseudomonadota; Alphaproteobacteria; Caulobacterales; Caulobacteraceae.